RNAcentral lists this long non-coding RNA (109 nucleotides) under Jaculus jaculus (lesser Egyptian jerboa). RNAcentral describes it as "Rhabdomyosarcoma 2 associated transcript conserved region 3 (ENSJJAG00000002792.1)". It matches the Rfam family "Rhabdomyosarcoma 2 associated transcript conserved region 3". The record is from RNAcentral. Lineage: Eukaryota; Metazoa; Chordata; Mammalia; Rodentia; Dipodidae.
AAGGAAGGAGAGGCUAUUUCUACAGGUGUCACAGAAAAAUCAAUCCUAGGCCACGGGUUAUUGGACCCCAUGGAACUGUGGAGAAUUGGCAGUGAAAUUCUUACAAAGG